RNAcentral lists this ribosomal RNA (385 nucleotides) under uncultured Anoxybacillus sp. Its description in RNAcentral is "bacterial SSU rRNA". It matches the Rfam family "Bacterial small subunit ribosomal RNA", at positions 1001 to 1382 of the family's 1533-position model. Lineage: Bacteria; Bacillati; Bacillota; Bacilli; Caryophanales; Anoxybacillaceae. The record is from RNAcentral.
GAGAGAUCGGGCGUUCCCCCUUCGGGGGACAGGGUGACAGGUGGUGGCAUGGUUGUCGUCAGCUCGUGUCGUGAGAUGUUGGGUUAAGUCCCGCAACGAGCGCAACCCUCGACCUUAGUUGCCAGCAUUCAGUUGGGCACUCUAAGGUGACUGCCGGCUAAAAGUCGGAGGAAGGUGGGGAUGACGUCAAAUCAUCAUGCCCCUUAUGACCUGGGCUACACACGUGCUACAAUGGGCGGUACAAAGGGUCGCGAACCCGCGAGGGGGGAGCCAAUCCCAAAAAGCCGCUCUCAGUUCGGAUUGCAGGCUGCAACUCGCCUGCAUGAAGCCGGAAUCGCUAGUAAUCGCGGAUCAGCAUGCCGCGGUGAAUACGUUCCCGGGCCUU